UACGUAGGGUGCGAGCGUUAAUCGGAAUUACUGGGCGUAAAGCGUGCGCAGGCGGCGCGUUAAGACAGGUGUGAAAGCCCCGAGCUUAACUUGGGAAUUGCGCUUGUGACUGGCGUGCUGGAGUGUGGCAGAGGGAGGUGGAAUUCCACGUGUAGCAGUGAAAUGCGUAGAGAUGUGGAGGAACACCAGUGGCGAAGGCGGCUUUUUGGUCUGUAACUGACGCUGAGGCGCGAAAGCGUGGGGAGCAAACAGG
Molecule: ribosomal RNA, 253 nt
Filed under: uncultured bacterium
Lineage: Bacteria
Description: partial 16S ribosomal RNA
Rfam family: Bacterial small subunit ribosomal RNA
Source: RNAcentral